UUCUAAGGGGAGCCUAUAUUGAUGGGCUGAGAGUAGAAUGUUAUUCUAGACCCUCAUAACCUGACUUGGAUAAUGCCAACGUAGGAAAGGAAAUUUUA
This 98-nucleotide non-coding RNA is filed under the name Clostridium niameyense. Its description in RNAcentral is "TPP riboswitch (THI element)". It matches the Rfam family "TPP riboswitch aptamer (THI element)", at positions 6 to 99 of the family's 105-position model. From Rfam's summary of the family: Vitamin B(1) in its active form thiamin pyrophosphate (TPP) is an essential coenzyme that is synthesised by coupling of pyrimidine and thiazole moieties in bacteria. Lineage: Bacteria; Bacillati; Bacillota; Clostridia; Eubacteriales; Clostridiaceae. The record is from RNAcentral.